AACCUGAGUGGAAAUCAACUAGGAGACUCUUGGAAUUUGAAAAACCUCAGUGAUCUACUGAUGAACCCACAAUGUCAAGCUGGAGAAGCUACAUCUGUUUAUUGCAAGAUUACUGAGAAACAGUGUUUCAUCCUGACUUCAGCUCUGAAAUCAAACCCAUCACAUCUGAGAGAACUGGACCUGAACCAGAAUGAACUAGGAGACUCUGGAGUGAAAAAACCUCAGUGAUCUACUGAAGUACCCACAAUGCAAUCUGGAAAACCUAAAUCUGUGGAGAUGCAGUAUUACAGAGAAACAGUGUCUCAUCCUGACUUCAGCUCUGAAAUCCAAACCCAUCACACCUGAGAGAGCUGAACCUCAGUGGGAAUGAAAUAAAAAACGCUGGAGUGAAUCACUUAUGUGACAUACUGAAGGAUUCCACCACACUGUAAACUGGAGAGAUUGAGGUCAGAAAACAUUAACAUAAAAGAAUCAAAAUGAUUAAAAUCACUUCAACAGUUUUAAAUUAGAACACUAGGGGCCCGUUCUUCGCUAACUCAGUUAGCUGGGGAUUUGAUUGUUGACAAUUUCACUUGAUCUUGGAUUGGUUGGUCCUUCAAAGCUCAUCCCAGAGUUGCUGUCAUAGGAACAGGUCCGAAAGCUGAUAUGCUUGUGUGUGUACAUGAGCUCACACAGCACGAUCACUUUUUUUUUUUUUA
Cyprinus carpio (common carp) is the source of this 698-nucleotide long non-coding RNA. RefSeq lists it as uncharacterized. The transcript is spliced from 3 exons. Lineage: Eukaryota; Metazoa; Chordata; Actinopteri; Cypriniformes; Cyprinidae. The record is from RefSeq and is a predicted model, not a curated record.